UACGUAGGGAGCAAGCGUUGUUCGGAUUUACUGGGCGUAAAGGGCGCGUAGGCGGCAAUUCAAGUUACUUGUGAAAUCUCCGGGCUUAACUCGGAACGGUCAAGUGAUACUGCUUUGCUAGAGUGCGGAAGGGGCAAUCGGAAUUCUCGGUGUAGCGGUGAAAUGCGUAGAUAUCGAGAGGAACACCUGAGGUGAAGACGGGUUGCUGGGCCGACACUGACGCUGACAGCGCGAAAGCCAGGGGAGCAAACGGG
RNAcentral lists this ribosomal RNA (254 nucleotides) under uncultured bacterium. RNAcentral describes it as "partial 16S ribosomal RNA". It matches the Rfam family "Bacterial small subunit ribosomal RNA", at positions 524 to 776 of the family's 1533-position model. The record is from RNAcentral.